This 253-nucleotide ribosomal RNA is filed under the name uncultured bacterium. RNAcentral describes it as "partial 16S ribosomal RNA". It matches the Rfam family "Bacterial small subunit ribosomal RNA", at positions 524 to 776 of the family's 1533-position model. The record is from RNAcentral.
GGCGGUGGGAGCUAGCGGUGGUCGGAAUGACUGGGCGUAAAGGGCGCGUAGGCGGCUUCGUCAGUCGGGUGUGCAAGCCCGGGGCUAAACCCCGGAACGGCAUCCGAUACGGCGCGGCUGGAGACCGGGAGAGGAGAGUGGAAUACCCAGUGUAGAGGUGAAAGUCGUAGAUAUUGGGUGGAACACCGGUGGCGAAAGCGGCUCUCUGGCCCGGUUCUGACGCUGAGGCGCGAAAGCGUGGGGAGCAAACAGG